AUGUACCUGCCUUGUUAGUGAGAAGAGAGAAAAACUUGUUCCGACAAUUGGAUAAUUUAGGGGGCCGGCGUAAAGCAUGUGUUGUGCAGCCCGAAGGGGAAAUGCCUGAUCAUGCUCUCAAGGCGCCCACCUGUGAAAACAGGGAUACAAGUUUUUCUCUUAACACGGCAAGGUGGGUUCCUU
RNAcentral lists this non-coding RNA (183 nucleotides) under Nitrospiraceae bacterium. RNAcentral's name for it is "6S RNA". It matches the Rfam family "6S / SsrS RNA". From Rfam's summary of the family: E. coli 6S RNA was the first non coding RNA to be sequenced, but its function was unknown until recently. It consists of 184 nucleotides that fold into an extended hairpin structure with a large single-stranded internal bulge. The record is from RNAcentral. Lineage: Bacteria; Pseudomonadati; Nitrospirota; Nitrospiria; Nitrospirales; Nitrospiraceae.